AGAUGAUGGAUGAGAUAAACUUGAAUGGUGCUUCUAAUGGCGGCAACAACAGUGACGAUGAGGUAGUGGUUGGAGAGGAUGAAGAAUUGGAUGAAAGUAAAAACACUAUGAAUGAUACAUCUAGCUCUAGCACAAACUUCUUCAGUGGAUUACCGGGUAGCAAUUCCGGGAAUGGAGGUGCUUUGAACUUUGAAAGUGAAAAGGCAAGCGCUUCAAAUGAUAUGGGUUUCUUCAGAUUUGAGGCAUCAGACAAGGAAGAGUGUUUUGGUGAUAGGCCUUUGCCUGAUUGGGUGGGUUGGGGCGAACCUUCAGAUAUGCAAGUUACUGGCGCCGGCAUGAAUCCCUUUAUGGAUCAUGAUGAUGAGUCUGGUAGCAACCUUUCUACCAAGGCUCAAAUAGGUAGCUCUAAUUCUAGUUCUCCAAAAUCGGAAUCUGUUUUGUCGAAUGGGUCACCAUCUAGUAAAGAUUUGAUCGAUGGGGUUGGCGACUCAACUCAAAGAUCAUCAGCAGUACCUUCACUAUUUGAGGAGGAUGUUGAAUUUGUAGGCGUAGAAUUAGAAGGAACUGAAAAGGCUAUGGAACAGGCUCUGAAGGAGGGUAUAGUUGGAGAAGCAGGACCAUUGAAAAGAAACGCGUCUCCAAAAGCGGCAGAAAAGGAAAAUUCCGAAGAGGGUAAUCCUGGGAUGAAGGAAUUCAAUGAUGCGAAUUACUGGAGGGUUGACCAAGAGGUUGCUGUUCUGGAGUGAUUAGCAUAAUGGUAAAUCAUGCUUUUUGCUGUAUGGAAAGUUGGACACCAAAACCAGUGGAUCUGAUUCUUGGUUUGCAGGAGCGGCGUAUGCAGCAAACUAAUGUACAGUAUAAUUUUGUUUUAAUUAUGUCUUAUUUAUUUUCACGCUUACUAGAUAUUGAGCUUGUUUAUUAUUCU
This 925-nucleotide long non-coding RNA is filed under the name Trifolium pratense (red clover). RNAcentral's name for it is "long non-coding RNA (TPRA_LNC003487)". The record is from RNAcentral. Lineage: Eukaryota; Viridiplantae; Streptophyta; Magnoliopsida; Fabales; Fabaceae.